GACGAACGCUGGCGGCGUGCCUAACACAUGCAAGUCGAACGGGGUGAAGAGCUUCGGCUUUUCACUUAGUGGCGAACGGGUGAGUAACGCGUGAGAAACCUGCCUUUCAGUGGGGGACGAACAGUUGGAAACGGCUGCUAAUACCGCAUAAUGCAUUUAGGGGGCAUCCCUUGAAUGCCAAAGCCUUAUGUGCUGAAAGAUGGUCUCGCGUCUGAUUAGCUAGUUGGUGAGGUAACGGCUCACCAAGGCGACGAUCAGUAGCCGGUCUGAGAGGAUGAACGGCCACAUUGGGACUGAGAUACGGCCCAG
RNAcentral lists this ribosomal RNA (309 nucleotides) under uncultured bacterium. RNAcentral's name for it is "bacterial SSU rRNA". It matches the Rfam family "Bacterial small subunit ribosomal RNA", at positions 28 to 334 of the family's 1533-position model. The record is from RNAcentral.